Molecule: ribosomal RNA, 791 nt
Filed under: uncultured bacterium
Lineage: Bacteria
Description: bacterial SSU rRNA
Rfam family: Bacterial small subunit ribosomal RNA
Source: RNAcentral
CCCCCCACCCCCCCCCCCCCUCCCUCCCGCCCGCCGCCGCGCGAUUCCUUAGUCUUCGAUCCUGGCUCACAUUGACGCUGGCGGCAGGCCUAACACAUGCCGUCGAACGGUAACAGGAAGCAGCUUGCUGCUUCGCUGACGAGUGGCGGACGGGUGAGUAAUGUCUGGGAAACUGCCUGAUGGAGGGGGAUAACUACUGGAAACGGUAGCUAAUACCGCAUAACGUCGCAAGACCAAAGAGGGGGACCUUCGGGCCUCUUGCCAUCGGAUGUGCCCAGAUGGGAUUAGCUAGUAGGUGGGGUAACGGCUCACCUAGGCGACGAUCCCUAGCUGGUCUGAGAGGAUGACCAGCCACACUGGAACUGAGACACGGUCCAGACUCCUACGGGAGGCAGCAGUGGGGAAUAUUGCACAAUGGGCGCAAGCCUGAUGCAGCCAUGCCGCGUGUAUGAAGAAGGCCUUCGGGUUGUAAAGUACUUUCCCCGGGGAGGAAGGGAGUAAAGUUAUACCUUUGCUCAUUGACGUUACCCCCCCAAAAGCACCGGCUAACUCCUGCCACAGCCGCGGUAAUACGGAGGGUGCAAGCGUAAUCGGAAUUACUGGGCGUAAAGCCACCCCACGCCGGUUUGUUAACUCCAAUGUGAAAUCCCCGGGCUCACCCGGGCAACCUGCAUCUCAAUACGGCCAGCUCGAAUCUCUUCAGGGGGGUAAAAUCCCGGUGUACCCGGAAAUGCGUUAAAUCUCGCGGAAUACGGUGGCAAAGGGGCCCCGCGACAAAACGACCCCAGGGG